RNAcentral lists this long non-coding RNA (2794 nucleotides) under Pogona vitticeps (central bearded dragon). RNAcentral's name for it is "lncRNA (ENSPVIG00000013843.1)". Lineage: Eukaryota; Metazoa; Chordata; Lepidosauria; Squamata; Agamidae. The record is from RNAcentral.
GUAAUGAGGAACGGCUUUGGCUGAAGGAAGAUCUUGAGUCCAAAGCGCUUCUCUCAUUUAGCUUCUUCUAGAGCAGAGAGACUAGAAAACCAACACCUACAGGAGUCAAGAAAGUAGCAUCAUGGCAGGCAACCCUUCCCACCCCUACAGCUAUAAUAUUAAAAUCACUGUUUUAAAUAAUUCAGUUUCUAGGAGCAGCAGUCCCUUGGGAGAGACUGAAGAGAGGGAACAACCAGAGAGGAAGAGAGGCUGUUACACGCAGGGCAGCGGUUCAUCCCCUCCUCACCGAUCCUCCAUAAGCAAUGGAAUCGCAUCUUUUCCUUUUGCUUCCUCAACCGCCAGUGAUGACAGCGAUAUAGAUGACUCCCUGCUGGAUAGCCCUGGUGGGGGAAAUCCGGACUCCCCCACUGGCCUCUCCCGUGAAGAUGAGGAUAGACUCUUGUUUGAUAAUUUGGUGGAUGAUCUGGAGACAUCUUCAGAUGAAGUCCGACUGGGACUCGGUUUCCAGAGAGUGGAAAGUAGCGAGGGUUUUGCAUCUCUUAAAUUCAGACAGCUUCCCAAGGCUCUAAAGGGGGCUGUAAGCACAGAGCCAUCUCGUCCAACUGUCCGUUCUUUCCAUGAGGAGCGCUUUGGGCCUCCUGGGGGUGGGAGCGACCUGAGCAAGGAGGACUCCCAAGCUGGAUCUGGCUUGGGUUGUGGCAGACCUUUGCUUCCAGAUGCUGUGCGAGUUGCAGAUGCACUUUUGAAUCUGCAGAAAGAGGGUGAUUUAUCUGGGAGACGAGAGAAGGGAGCAGCUCAGACAGUGGAAGAGGAGAGUGGGCAAGAGGAAGGACCCUCCAAGAGUCAGGCUUCCGUAAACGAACUUUUGCUCAGGGGGAAAAGGACAAGCAGUGUCCUGCAGUCCACUGAAGGAGCGUCACAUUCUUCCAGCUCACAGUGCAAGGGAGCACCGUCCACGUCCAGUUCUGUUGGUGAUCAAAGAAAGAUUUGCAUAGAAAAUCCUCCUGCGCCAGAACCAAAGAGGCCUAGACGUGUCUACAUCGAAGAGAAAGACCUUGAGGAGCGGAAGGAGAAAUACAUCCGCGCUGUCCUUGCCCACGCUCGCAGCAGGCCAGUCAUAAGUGAAGUGAAUGAGCUGCAUGCACUGAUCCAAUGCGUUGCUUCUGAAAACCAGGAAUACAGACGCCAGCACACGACUGACCUGACUGAGAGGAACUACGUGUGGCGCAGCAACAGGACGAACCAGAAGUUCAGCCUUCCCGAAUGGGUCGAGAAAAACGGCCGGAAGGUCUGUCGGUUUGCGACAGUUCCUGAUCGUUUCCAGCGCUGCCCUGUCCCAAGCUAGAACAAACCUUCCAACUCAGUAGGGAAGCUCUGGCUUCACCCUGCACUUUGAACAUUGCUGACAGUUCAUUUUACUGAUCUAUUUUAUGUUAUAUUAUAUUGUGUUAUAUUAUUUUAUGUUAUUUUAUUUUAAAAUUUAAAGCCAAUUUACUGGUGUAUGUUUGUUUUUUCCCUUAUGCAAAUAUAUGUGCCCCUUUAGGCUUGAACUUCAUUGCAGCCCAAAUGUCCUUGGAAUUUCAAGCUUUAGUGGGUCUGUUUGGUUUUGCGCCAUGAUCUCUUUUAUAAACGUGUUGUGCCUUUUGAAUACCCUGUUAUGUUUUUCCCUUUCUUCCUUUCCUUAGUGGAAGGAGUUUGGCUGGUUUCUGUGUCCAAUUUAUUGACCUUUCUGACCCAUUUUUAAAAAGAAAUCUGCAGGUGACUUCAGAUAGCUAUGUUGGUGGAUGAAGCUGUAAUUGAUGAUUGGAGUGUGAGGAGCAGCUGCCCUAAUUCAGACAUUGCAGGCAGCAGUUUCAUGUCACUUCAAGCACAGAGCUUUGAAAUGGAGCUCACACUCCAUCCAGCUGCCAGAGGCAUCAGCCGCAGAGAGGCCAAGUGGAACAGCCUGGAAGAAUUAGAGGAAUCCUUCAGCCUCCCUUGGAGGAAUGCUGAUCCUGGCUGGGAAGCCAAUCAGACAGGAAAGUUAGUCUUGCCGAUAGGUUUCACCAACGUGUGGCUCCUUCCAGUGGCAGAUUGAUUGUGGGGUUGUGCUGCCCCCUUAAAGUAAGGUAGUGGUUUCUACCGAAUGCUGCUCCCCUCCCCAGGCCACGUGCCUGUUGCUACGAGGUAAGCAGGGCCACUGUCGCUGUCGACGGGUCUCCUGCGCUGAACGGUGUCAGGCCUACGUGGCUCUCUGUGUUUCUUCGGAAUGAGAAAGACAGCAGAAAAGCUGUUCUGCUCUACCAACAAGGAGGCAACGUGGACUCUUUAACAUCACCCCAGCAGGACUUCAGCCUGAAGGGAAUGCCUAACCCCUAGGUAAUAUUGUUAAAGCCUGAAUGGAAUGCCUAACCCCUAGGUAAUAUUGUUAAUUUGGCUCUGGUUGGUUCUACCUAGUGGGAUAACUGAGUUUUUCAACCCAAUUCCCAGGCGGAGGGGUCUGAGGUUAUUUUUUUUUCUUCCUGUUCCCCAGCCAAAUAGAAAAUUGUAGUUUCCAAAGAGAGGUGAUAUCCAGCCGGCAGCGAUCAGAGCUGUAGUUUGCAAACCGCACCUCCAGUGCGGCUGGGCCUUUUUCUAAUUGACCUCUAAGAAACGAGGCUGGCACAGCCAUCUGCCGUGAAUUUCUGGGACACUGAUUUUUCUGCACUCUUGGCAAGGCACUGGUGGACGGCUGAGGAAGUGGACUUUGUUCCACAAAAACUAGCAGACUGCAGGAUUUUCUUUAGUGGACUAAUAAAGGUGCCACCUACUCCCA